UGGAACUGGAACAAGAGCAGUGGCGUGGGAAGCCCUUUCCCUGGCGUGGGGAGAUGCUUGAGCUGCACACCGAGCAUCAUCCUGCCUGACAGGGACACAGGAGCAGAGAUCAGCUGCAGGUAACCACACCUGGGUGAGGCCCCAUCGCCGCCCGGCCUGGACUCAGCUUUGUCACAGGUGUGCGCUGGCACGGACACCCCACAGGUAACGGUGCGCAGCCAGCCCGGCACCGCACCUGCAGCUUGUUUGCACCCUCAUUAGUGACUCAUUUGGCAGGUGGGUAAAGGAGAUAAUCCAGGCUGUGCGAGGGAGGCUGCUGUUUGUUUCAGGGGGGUGGAUUGCCGCCGGGCUGGGGAGCAGCGGCGCCGCAGCGGCGGCGGUUCCGUGCCCGGGGAGGCACCGGGUGGGUCCUGCAGCAUUCCCCGGGCUGGGACCCUGCAGCAUUCCCCGGGCUGGGACCCUGCAGCAUUCCCGGCUGGGACCCUGCCUGCACCGGGACCUGGGGCCGGAGCUGUGCCUGCACCUGGACUCGGCUGCCAGAUAAUGUAAUUCCACGCACUACCCGGGGCUCAGGGGCGCAUCAGCAAAGCGCCUGCGAGCACGGGAUUGACAGGCUGCUGCUCCAAUCCUCUGACAGGCACAGGGAGCCAUGGAAAAGGGAUCCUUUGUUCUUUGGGGGCUGUUGAGUUCCAUCAGUGCCAUCCUCGGAGCCCUGGGCACCGUGUUAAUGCUAAUGCUGUUAGGGAGAUGGAGAGCCGCCAGGAGGGAGCAGUAAUCAGCUCACAGAAUCACUGCACAUAUUCAUGGAGCUUGUUGUGGGGUGAGAUCCCAGAGCCCUGAGCCUUCCUGAGGAGAACAGGAAAAUCCAGCUAACAUCUCCCUGUCACCCUCCUGGGCUGCUUUCACUGCAGACGACCUUGGGCAGCUGUGCUGCAGUUCUGCCAGACUCCAAUGAUGUCUUUAGUUCACCGUGUGUUGGGUUUUGCCCAAACAGAAGGCCUGGCUCUGAGCACACCUCUCACCAUGGGGAGGAGUUGCUGACAGAAGUUCCCUCAGCAGCCUUGGCAUGCUCUGAGCUGAGCUGUGGCACAGAUGGAUUUCAGGACUCGCUCGUCCUUGGGGAUGUCCAACACAACUGGUGAGAAAUCUCCUUUCCUCUCCCUCUCCUGCCAAAGCCCCAGCUCUUGGACCACAGGAUGGUUUAGGAUGGAAGGGACCUCAAAGAUCACCUUGUGGGCAGGGAUGUAACCUGAGGUGGCUUUCCUGGGAAAGGUGGGUGGUGAGCCCUGGCCUGUGGUCAAUCACAUCCUGCAGAUAAAGGAUUUUUGGGGAGAGCAGAGCUGCUCCAUGCCCUCACUGAGCCCUCUGCUCCAGCCCGAGGGCUGUGCCCUGCACCCAAGGGCAGCCCAGCCUGUGCUCUAAUGAAAAUCUGCUCCUCUAGCAAAAAGGUUCCUUGAAAUCAGUUUGAAUCAAUCCUAGAAAAGCUCUAAUUAUAAGCAAAAUUUAGCCUGACGGGACAAAAAUAAAAAGUACUUUAAUCGGGGCA
RNAcentral lists this long non-coding RNA (1546 nucleotides) under Zonotrichia albicollis (white-throated sparrow). Its description in RNAcentral is "lncRNA (ENSZALG00000003348.1)". The record is from RNAcentral. Lineage: Eukaryota; Metazoa; Chordata; Aves; Passeriformes; Passerellidae.